RNAcentral lists this long non-coding RNA (7316 nucleotides) under Lactuca sativa (garden lettuce). RNAcentral describes it as "long non-coding RNA (LSAT_LNC003761)". The record is from RNAcentral. Lineage: Eukaryota; Viridiplantae; Streptophyta; Magnoliopsida; Asterales; Asteraceae.
CUUGAAUCUUCUUGUCUUUGAAAGCAAGUACCACAAGUGUAGUACCUCUAAUGGCUCACAAACACCAAGAGCAAAUGGAGAGGCAAGAGAGAGAGAGAGAGAGAGAGAGAGAGAAGAGGUAUGAAAUUCGUCCCUAGGAACCCUAGACAAGGCAUGGACGAAUUCUUAUGGCCUUAGGGGUAUUUACAUAGGUGUAGAGAUUAGGGUUUCAUUCCUUAUCCUUAUCUAGUUGCUUGCCCACCAAGUAACCAUAAGAUAAGCCUUGAAAACCAUUAUCCUUAUCCUUUGGACGAUUUCAAGGAUAUCUUAUCCCUUGAAUUCAUCCACCCUAUAUCUAGGAUAACCAUUACCCUAUUUUGUAACUAUCACAUAAUUACAAUUCAGCCCCUCUAGUUUAAUUAAUUACACUUGAUCAUUAAAUUAAUUCUUAAUUAAUUAUUGACCAAUAUUAAUAAAACAAAUAUGAUUUAUCCUUUAAUAUAUUAUUGUUAUAACAUAUUAAUAAAUCAUAAUAACCUCUUUCUCUAUUAUUUCUCCAGUCAAGUUGCUUUGGUGAAGGCAACCCAAAAGGACCAUGCACAAUCAGGUCAAGUACUUGACAAAUAUGAUUACGAGCUUAGACACUAAUCCAACAGUCUCCCACUUGGAUAAGUCUAGUAAAUAUAAUAGUAAGUACUACCCGAUUAGCAAUCGUAGCUCGCAAAGACACUGUCGAACUCUGAUCUUAUCAGUAACCUGUCCUUUAGAUAAGGGAUCAUAUAUAUCUCCAUUCUAGAUAUCGUAUAGACAUGAGACAUGGAUUGAAAUCAUUCUCUCAGUCUAUGUGUUGUUUCCCGAUUUCCGAUUUACGACGACUAACUAAUUAAACAAAUCAAAUUAGCCCUAGCCCAACCGAGCAUUUACGUUUUGUCAUCAUUAAAUCAUCGAGGGGCCCACAAAUAUCGCUUUUAUCCCACUUUGGGUAAAAGGAACGGAUAAACUUCGACUCAAUGUUUGCUUGCACUCACUUACCAAAUCACACACAACAAUAAGUUUUAUAACACCAAGUUACUGGUGCGUUUACAUAUUAUCAAUGUGUAACCGAUUCGCAAAAUACAACUCAUACAUCUCGGUUUCAAGAAUACAAGAUAUUAUCGUCUCACCAAUCGCUCGUGAUAAAAUCUAUGAUAAUACUUAAUCUUAUAUGACCCCAAACUUGUGAACAUUGCAACAUGAACAUUGCAACAAACCUUUGCUAUAUCCAAUACACUUUAUACAAUCUACAAACUAAAUCAUGACAGUCUUCAUUCAUACCUACUUCCAACAUAUGAACGACUGCGGACCGUUUGAAAAAUUCGAUUAUUCUUAAUAAACUCAAUUAUUCUGGAAGUCAAAACAUGCAAAGAGAAACACAAUGAUAAUACUUAAUCUUAUAUGACCCCAAACUUGUGAGUAUAAAUAAAACACCUUUAUUUAAUCACCAUAUUGAUUACUCAUUAUCCAUUGUUUAAUGUUUCAGAUAAUCAACUUUAUAACUCGAAUCAUAACCACAAUUGUCCCAUGCUCCAAGCAUGCACACUUUGGUUUCCUAUGGUCCAUACUUUGUGAAAUAGAUCAAUUGAAACUUUUCAAAUGCAACUCAUUUCACAAUCCCCAAUCCUUAUAAUUAGUGUAAGAAUACCAAAUUCUUGCCACCUUUUAGAAUAUGUCAAAUUCUAAUAUUUUAUGCAAUGAUCCUCUUGUGAAGUCACGGCACAAAAAUCACAAAGACUCGGCCAACGAAAUCACAAGGUACUCUAUCAAAAAUUGUUACAGAACAAUUCUAUAGAUGUGAUGUCUCUCACUCAAAGUACAUUCCUUUGAACAUCCUUUUGCAUAAAAUUUUCUAAUCUAGACAUAAAUUCUUAAUUUCCAACUCCCAAUUAUGGAAACAAUUCCAUAUUUACCAUAUGACAACUCAUUCUUAAUAGAAUCUUAUCUAUUCAUAAUAAUGUCGAUAUGGUCCAUUCAAUACCAUACUUCCAACUACUCACAAGCGACCAAUCCUCAGCGAACUUUGGAUCGUCCUUUGAUAGUUGUUUAAUUAUCUUAGUCAAAACCGAUUCUUGUCCUUUUUCCCUCUUAAUGCGCUAGACAUUUGGAAAAAUUUUAGAAUGGUCAAAUAUUAUAGCACUUGCAAUCGAUCCUUUACCCGAAGCGUAUGGGACACGAUGCAUAAUGUCUUACAUAAAGAUACGAUACUCUAUCAAUCUUCUGCCAUAAUAUUUUAUGUGUCACGUUCUUACAAUUCGAACUAUGAAGAGGGAUACCGUAAUCAUAAUCGAAAUUUAAGAACACACUAUGUAUCCUUUGACUAAAUUUAUUAAAAUUUCUCAAUCUAAGCUUUAGAUUUUGAACGAAGUACAAUAUUCUCUCCCUUAAUUAUAGAAAAACAACUUUUCAACUCUUACAACUUUGCAAAGUAUAACUCUUGUUUUCUAUAAUUAAUAUUGCUAACUUGCAAUACUUACCAUAAUAAUCAUGCUCCCACUUAAAUGAUGAUUAUUUCUUUACCAACAUAACACUUAUGCUCCCACUAGCUUCGACAUGUAUUCAGAAAUCAGCUGAACUUCUAGAAAACAAUUUCUCAAGUUCAUAUUUCUAAUACUAGAUGCUUCGAUAAGACUUUAUCUAAGCUUCUUAACCUCAUACACUUUUCCUUGGACAGCUCAUAUGUAUAUGUCUAAACGAUUCUAGGACUCAUAUCAAUAAGUCUAAAAUGUUCAGACCCAUUUGCCAUUUCCCACAAUUCGAACUAUGAAGAGGUAUGCCAUAAUCAUAGUUGAAUUUGAGAAACCCAAAUCACAUAAUGCUAUCUUCCAAAUCUCUCUUAGUGAAAGCGUUUCCUCACAAUCAUUUUCAUGAAUGGGAGAAACCUUAUGACACUUAGAUUUUGUGGUGUAUACAUUCCCAUCCAUGUGAAUUUGUCGUAACCAUAAUCACAAGAUAAUGUUAGUGACAAAUCCAAACUCUUAUGGAUAGAACUUGUUCCUCUUAAUUUUUUGCCAUCAAGGGUCCCACCAUUACUUCCAAGUUAUUGAGCAACCCACCCCUUCAUUUCAAUGUACUUUCCAUUGAACAAGGUGUCUUGCCCCUAUACAAUCCAUUGAGAACUCGUAGAACUCACAUAUACAGAAAACUCAAUUGGAAUGCCACAGAAAACAAAAUAGUGUCAACACGAUAGGUUGUAAACCUCAAGUCGUGUGCUAGUGACGAUUGAUAAGGUUUAAUCUUGAUUUGUUCUCGAAACCUUUCAAGACCAUUAAGACUCCCACUAACUCCUUGACAUAUAAGGUUCUCUUGUCAAGAACCAUUUCUUGACAAAGAAAUAUUCAUGAGUUAGUGUAGCUUUCAUCAAGACAAAACACUUCAUAUGAUUGGUCCUAGUUGGUCUUUGUCAUAUCCAAGACAUCACAACUUACCAAUUUCAAAUGUGCAAGAAUAAGAAAACCCCUUUUCCAAAUUCCACAUUUGAUGAAUGUUAUAGACCUUCUUAAGACUUGUCACUCAAUUCACAAUCUUGGAGUCUAACUCUAAGACUUGAUAUUGGAACGAAGUAUGAUUGACUUCUUGAUUUAACCAUUUCCACAAUUCCCGAUUCCUCUUCUUAGACAUACAAAUUGUACUAAGAAUCACUUAGAGGAUCAAUUGAGAUAUGGUUGUUAAUCAUUAAGACCUAUCAUAAAACAUAAUAAAAUGUACUCUCCCUUCUUCUUAGAAUAGAGAAACUUUUAUCUUUCUGCCUACUUGAUUCUUCUUAUUCGUUUUACUAUUGAUUGAAACUCUUUCAAUCAACUUAGAAUUAUACUCAAUCUUAUAGGUAUAACCAUAUUCACUAAAAUUUAGUAAAUCAUGACGAAUAUCUUUGUCAUUCUUGUGGUAGACUUGAUCAACGUACGACCUAGUGUACUCGAUCUCUUAGUCCUUAAUUUUACACUUUGUCAAAAAAUUAGCCUAAAUUUCCCAAAUGCGAGAGUUCUCAUUCUUCAUACAAUACUUGUUGCACGAUUCCAAGUUCCUAUCCACUUGAAACUUGGGCGAUGAGAAACUCUCCCUAUUUGGUAAACUCUUGACACUUCCACAAAUAACCUAACUAAGAAUCAAAUCCAUUUUGUUGAUAAAAGAAGUACACAAACAUCAAUUUUUCAUAUAUGCCAUUGUAAGGAUAAACAAAUAAGAUAAAACCAAAAUUUAUUUUAUUCAUAAAAGCAGCGGAAAACAUGUCCUUACAAUGAAAAUUUCAACUGAAAAACUAUGUAAUCAAAUACUCCUAACAAUUCUAUCAUAACUUCCUAAGCUUAAAAUCUGACCUUCGAAUCCAUGUGAUCGUAAUCCAUUUCUUCGUGAUGAGACUCAUCUUGCUCUUCCAUCAAACUUCCUCUUUUUUCUCUAAUUCUGCAAAACAUGCAAAUGUAAUCUUAUCACAUUAUGUAUAAAGAAUAGGAAUUUAAUGGAGUUAGAUAGUGGAUUUUAUACCUGAAGUAGAGCCAUACUUCUUGACUCUCCCAUCUCUUAGACUCUUCAGGUCCUUUGGGCAACUUCGUAUCCAUUUCCCCUUCUCUUGGCAGCAGAAACAGGUGGGUUCUUCUAGAGUGUCCACGGAAGCAUGGUUGAUUGAAUUAUUAGACAAAUAUGCUCCAUUGCUUUGCCAAAUCAUUUCUGAUUCAGCAGCAAUAAGCAUGUAAGUUUAGCCAAUGAGGGUCGCGUCAAGAUCCAUCAUAUAAUACUCUCUUAUGAACUUAUAAUAUGAUUUAGGGAGUGACUGAAGAACCCAGUCCACAUCCAACCUAUUGGGAAAAGACGCACCCAACAUAAUCAACCUAUCAAUGUGUGAUUUCAUCCCUAGGACGUGAGCACACACGGGUUUACCAUCUUCAUGUUCCAUUGCCAAUAGGGAUUCAGUGAUCUUGAACCUUUCAAAUCUUUGAUCUUGUGGGUCAGGGAGAACAACGGCAGGAGGAGGAGGGAGUGAAAUCAAGCUAGUCCACAUUGAUCUUUCACUUUGGAACAAGCUUUCACUUUCAACAAGAAUACCUUUUCCUUGGGAUUCGGGAAGACCACGGUUAGAAUCAGACAUCUACAAAACGGGAGAAAUUUCAAGUUAUUUGAUUGAAUCCUUAAUGAAACACCCAAAUGAGACAUUAAGGCUAGGAUCCAACAACAUUAUUUACACAUUAGAAGAGGGAUGCCGUAAUCCAACAUGCAAAUAAUUCGGAGGUAAGUGAAUGACGAUUCACUAAUUCUUCACCAUGAAAAACAUAAAGGCUUAAGUUUUAAAUGUAUUAAGAAUUCCUANCGAUGAGAUUCAUUGAAGUUUUCAAUGGCAUGUUUAAAUCUCGAUAUGCCCCUCUCGUUUGUGACUGAGAUGCCGAGGAUCACAAAGUGGGUGUGAAUAACCAUGCAAAUAUACAUGGUGCCCUCAUUGUUACAGUCACCUAUUCGAUGUGCCGGUAAACCACACACGUUGUAUCGAACUAUGACAAACAUUGAGUCACCCUUUGCUACCUUUGCUUNNNNNNNNNNNNNNNNNNNNNNNNNNNNNNNNNNNNNNNNNNNNNNNNNNNNNNNNNNNNNNNNNNNNNNNNNNNNNNNNNNNNNNNNNNNNNNNNNNNNAUGCGCACAUAGGAAAGUUCUUAUGGCUAAAACCCAUCAGUUUGAACUUUUUCAAAUUUAGAGUUUUAGAAUUUAACAUUUUUCAAAAUUAAACUUUCAAUCAACCAAUUUAAAUUCCAAAACUUGAGGGCAAGUUUUGAAACUUUUCAAAACAAUUAGGUUUUAAUCUCACUUUAAAAUUUUCGAAAUUUAAUACUAUUUAAAUUAAAAUUUUAAAUAUUAAAACUCUUGAUUUAAUAAUUAUCUUGAAUUAAACUAUUAAUUUACAUUAUUAAAUCAAAAGGGAUUAUCUAAAUCAUAAAGGAUAAUUACCAAUUAAAUAAUUAAUUUAUCAUAAUCCUUUUAAUCCCUCUAUAUUUCGAAAAUCAUGGGAUAGGAUAAUUCAAAAUCUUUAAUUACCAUAUAUUACCAUUAAAGGAUAAUUACAAGAUAUAGGAUAAUCCAAAUCCCUAAAAUUUAGGAUCUUAUCUUGGGGAGGAGGCUAAUUUCGAAAAUCAUGGGGUUUUUCAAACCCUAGAUUUCGAAAUCUUGAGGCUUAAGGAAAGGAUUUGAAAACCCUUUCAAAUUUUCGCAAAUUAGGGUAUAGAAACCCUAAUCUCGAAAUUUCUAGCCUCCUAGGGUUUAUUGGCUAUAAACCCUAGUAUGUCAAGUUCAUACAAUUGUAUAAUACUAAUUGAAAACAAGUUAACCAAAGGCUCUGAUACCACUGAUGGGUUUUAUACAAACAAUCCUAUGUGUGCAUGCAACCCUAGAGUUGGAUCUAUGUUAUCACUAUUAGUUAUACAACAUUAUGAACACUUGAAGAACCCUAAAAGGCUUCUAGGAAUUUCGAAAUCCACAAGGAAAGAUGAAAUAAAUACCUCUUGUUGUUAUAUUGUAAUAACAACUUAAAUCUUGAAUCUUCUUGUCUUUGAAAGCAAGUACCACAAGUGUAGUACCUCUAAUGGCUCACAAACACCAAGAGCAAAUGGAGAGGCAAGAGAGAGAGAGAGAGAGAGAGAGAGAGAAGAGGUAUGAAAUUCGUUCCUAGGAACCCUAGACAAGGCAUGGACGAAUUCUUAUGGCCUUAGGGGUAUUUACAUAGGUGUAGAGAUUAGGGUUUCAUUCCUUAUCCUUAUCUAGUUGCUUGCCCACCAAGUAACCAUAAGAUAAGCCUUGAAAACCAUUAUCCUUAUCCUUUGGACGAUUUCAAGGAUAUCUUAUCCCUUGAAUUCGUCCACCCUAUAUCUAGGAUAACCAUUACCCUAUUUUGUAACUAUCACAUAAUUACAAUUCAGCCCCUCUACUUUAAUUAAUUACACUUGAUCAUUAAAUUAAUUCUUAAUUAAUUAUUGACCAAUAUUAAUUAAACAAAUAUGAUUUCUCCUUUAAUAUAUUAUUGUUAUAACAUAUUAAUAAAUCAUAAUAACCUCUUUCUCUAUUAUUUCUCCAGUCAAGUUGCUUUGGUGAAGGCAACGCAAAAGGACCAUGCACAAUCGGGUCAAGUACUUGACAAAUAUGGUUACGGGAUUAGACACUAAUCCAACGAAUAUGAGCUGGGGAUACAGCGGUCUGGGGGCAAUGCCCCUGGGUACAGGGUUCCAAGGGGCAGUUCCCUAGGCGGGGUCUAGGGACAAUGCUCCUAGCGGGGUCUAAGGGGUAGAGCCUCUGGCGGUGAUUAGUGGUCAGCGGAUGGGAUCAACGGG